Cebus imitator (Panamanian white-faced capuchin) is the source of this 467-nucleotide long non-coding RNA. RefSeq lists it as uncharacterized. The transcript has 3 exons. Lineage: Eukaryota; Metazoa; Chordata; Mammalia; Primates; Cebidae. The record is from RefSeq and is a predicted model, not a curated record.
AUGAAGCUAGCCUUCUCAGCUAGCCUUUAGAUUUGUCUGCUAACAGUAAAAAUACUAUAAUAAAUCGGUAACAUAUGUUGCCAGGCAAGGAAAAGUGAUUUAAAUAAAGAGACUGGGAGACCCAAACCAAGUACAAUGUGAAAAGAAUUUAACUUUCAAUCUAUUUGCUGGCUAAUUACCAUUUGAAAAGUAAUUUGAAAGUGUUACUGUUAUUUGCUGAUAUUCUUCCUCAUUUUUCUUUUUUUCCUCUUCAGAUUGCAUUCUUACCCAAAUACUCUUCGUGAUGGCCUGCUUUGCGGCUUUGGGGAGAGGAAAUUGGACUCGAAUAGAUCGAGUAAAUUGACCCCUCAUCAGUAACAAGCAAGAGAGGACACCAGGUUUUGAACCCAGUUUCCCUUAUAAGAUGUCCAGUAUGUUUCUUGGUUGUUGGAAGGAACUGAUACAAAGAGAUUCCUGAAGAAGUUGUC